RNAcentral lists this ribosomal RNA (253 nucleotides) under uncultured bacterium. RNAcentral describes it as "partial 16S ribosomal RNA". It matches the Rfam family "Bacterial small subunit ribosomal RNA", at positions 524 to 776 of the family's 1533-position model. The record is from RNAcentral.
UACAGAGGUGGCAAGCGUUGUUCGGAAUUACUGGGCGUAAAGGGCGCGUAGGCGGCCUUCUAAGUCAGACGUGAAAUCCCCCGGCUUAACCUGGGAACUGCGUCUGAUACUGGGAGGCUAGAGUAUGGGAGAGGGAUGUAGAAUUCCAGGUGUAGCGGUGAAAUGCGUAGAUAUCUGGAGGAAUACCGGUGGCGAAGGCGGCAUCCUGGACCAUUACUGACGCUGAGGCGCGAAGGCCAGGGGAGCAAACGGG